This 229-nucleotide ribosomal RNA is filed under the name uncultured bacterium. RNAcentral describes it as "partial 16S ribosomal RNA". It matches the Rfam family "Bacterial small subunit ribosomal RNA", at positions 568 to 796 of the family's 1533-position model. The record is from RNAcentral.
CAAGUAGGCGGUUGUCAAAGUUGGGCGUGACAAAUCUCGGCUUAACUGAGAAGGGUCGUUCAAAACUAGACAACUAGAGGGCAGAAGAGGAAAGCGGAACUCCUGAUGUAGCGGUGGAAUGCUUAGAUAUCAGGAAGAACACCAGUGGCGAAGGCGGCUUUCUGGUCUGCACCUGACGCUGAGAGGCGAAGGCUAGGGUAGCAAACAGGAUUAGAUACCCUGGUAGUCC